UGGCUUGUUCAGAGCUUAAGAAGUUGAACGGUCCACGGAAUUGAAACUUGAAUAAACCAACUUGCUGACGAUCCGAAUCAGAUUUCCAGAGAAUGCCCCCUCUACUUGCAGUAGCUUCGAACUGUCGAACCAUGCAGUUUGCCGGUGGCCUUGAUCAACGCCGAGACGGUAGGAUUAACACCUAGGUCACAUGAAACAAAUACCGGUGAGGAUAGGAACUGUAGUACACGGUUAGACCACAGCUAUCAUAAGACAUUGCGUAGGUUUAACGCGGUCCAUUUUCGACCCAGCUUGUGCUUCAGCCUCUCGCUCUAAUCAGAUUUGACAGCCCUUCUUGCACAGUAUAUUGAGGCAUAGAUCCUUUCUGCUACUUGAAGCCCCUGAAUUCAAUAAAAUUUUAAAAAUCCAAUCAUCUAGGCUUAGCUAGUCCACUUUUCGAAAGUGUUUGCUGGAGAUUGUCAGGAUCUGAGAAUAAACAAUGGGUGCGUGGCGCAUGUCGGUCUGUGCGCCAGCCACAUCUGGACACUACGGGCAUUUUCGGAAAGAAAGGAUCGGCAAAUCACGUGUUCAUUUUUAGGUUUCAAUGCUCAUAUUCAAAAUCGCGAAUCUGGUCCCUGGAAAACGUGCUUUCGUGAAACAGUUAUCCUUGAAGAGAGCUUCAUUUUCGGUGCAUUAUUGAUGGAUAGAUACUGUCGACGCCCGCAAUCAUCUAGGCCUCUUAAGGUUGAUGCUGUGGCUAUGGCUAGAUGACUUGUGCUUUGUCUGCCACUGCAAUGCCCCUGGAGGAGGUGUGGAUUAGUGAACGAGGACGUCUGAUUGCGUGACGCAUGCGAGAGAAGUGAGGGUAGAUGCUGUAUAAAUGCUGCAACUUGUACUCAACUAAGUUUUAAGAUAGUGUCUAGAUGAAGUUGGUUAGGUGUUGCGGUGGUGAUACCAAAGUGAAGGUCUGAGUUAAUUAGGUUACAGUCUUCGAAGCGCCAUUAGGAAUGACCAAGAUUUCAUGCCGAGUAUGAUCUCGGAUUGACAUGUUGCAGGUAAUUCCAUUAUGCGAUUCUUACAAACAGAAGAGAAAAAUUGAUGUUGCAAUAUUACAUCACAGAGUUGCUAUUGCAUCAUUUGCCAUUAGUGUAUAGGAACAACAUUCACUAAGGAUACAAGAAUAAAAAUCGUAUACUACAAAAUAAUUAUCGUGUUCUAUCGCUCUGAUCAAUGAGAUUUUACGAAGCCCAUCGUUCGUCAUGUACGUCAUUCAUAAGAUUUGUGCUUCAUGUACGUCUAGCUCAGAGUCACUUGCUGCUGGACAGUGUAGCAGGUUCUGAUUAAAGCUGUAACAAUCCAAAGAAUUGUUGCUCUGGUCUGCUGCUAACAGGUCUUAAACGUGAGACAGCAACGUAUCGACUCCGAGGGAGAUAUGAAUGGAAUCAGAAACCAAAGCCGAGGUCUUGCCACUCCUCGCACUCACUACUUGUGCAUACUCAGAACGCAGUUCCUGCAAAACCGGAAGAAACACAUGUGUCCACUCUAGACUCGUACAUAAUUGUCAACCAUGGAUCAAAAUGUCGAAAUAAUUAGCUACUGCUGCUUGAGAACGCCGAAUAUCGCAAAUUACUUGUAGCCCUCCCUAUCUCAUGCAAAGCACAUUGUAAACAGUGUUCUGUUGGGUAACAAUGAAUAAAGAGUAUGAAAACCAGAAUCAAGAAACGACCAACAAAAGUAGGCCGAGAGUCUCAUUGCCAUGAAUAGUGUUUUUCUUGGUUGAGGAGGCUUCACGCUGCAAACUGGGCGAGGUAUAGUAGAUCCGCGCAAACAAACUCUGCUCAGAGCCCAUGCUUGUCCUGGCGAAUACUAGUCGAAGACGAACCAUGAAGUGAGAAAUCCCUUGGUUGCACACAGCUUGGCACGAAACUCUGAUAUCCCCUCAAUAAUUUUAGGGAGAAAUCGUGCAUGGACAACUGAAGAUUGACGAGUAUAGUGAGAUUAACAGUGCUAGUAUGUUCGUCCCCGGUAGUGACUGCAGUGACUUUCUGCAGUCACUGAAGUAGGCGCGCAAAGGAAGAUACCGACAAGACCUCAAACUAUUGGGUGUGGCUGCAGAAAUUCGAAAUUAGAGUUUCCAACAGCGUCUUUCAAAUUGAAGAUUUCGUGCGAAAAAAGGUAUACAAACAA
Molecule: non-coding RNA, 2166 nt
Organism: Physcomitrium patens
Lineage: Eukaryota; Viridiplantae; Streptophyta; Bryopsida; Funariales; Funariaceae
Source: RefSeq, a predicted model, not a curated record